RNAcentral lists this long non-coding RNA (6057 nucleotides) under Equus caballus (horse). RNAcentral describes it as "lncRNA (ENSECAG00000043970.1)". The record is from RNAcentral. Lineage: Eukaryota; Metazoa; Chordata; Mammalia; Perissodactyla; Equidae.
UGUUUCUAACACUCCUAGUGGUGUCACUGACUUCGUGUGUCACAAUCCUUCUAGUGUCUCUGCCUGCCUGUGUCACAACCUCUCUGGUAUCUUUUAGUUCCUGUGUCAGACUACCUUGUUGUUUCUGAAUUCGUUUCACACUCCCACUUCUUUCUCUGAGUGCAUGUGUCACAGUCCCUCUGCCGUCUAUUUCUUCAAUGUGUUACACUACCAAUGGCGUCUCUGACUUUGUUUGUCACACUCCACAUGGUGUCUCUGACUUUGUGUGUAACACUCCACAUGGGUUUUCUUACUUUGUAACACACCACAUAUCUGUUUUCGUUUGUUACACUCCUCCUCGUGUCUAUGAUUUCAUGUGUAACACCCCAAUAUUCCUUUCUGAUUUCGUGUGUGAUACUGCACCUGUUGUCUCUGGUUUCGUGUUUCACACUUCCCAAAGUGUCUAUGACUUCUUCCGUCACUCACACCCUGGUGUCUCUGACUUCCUGUGUAACUCUACCCCUGGCAUUUCUGACUUUGUGUGUCACACUCACCCUGGCACAUCAGACUUCAUGUCUAACAAUUCCCGUGUUGUUUCUGGGUUAGUGUGUAACACUCCUCCUGGCACCUCUGAAUUCAUCUGUAACAGUCAAUUUGGCAUCUCUGACUUCGUGUGUCACAAUGCCUCUGGCAUCUGUGACUUUGUGUGUCACACUCUCUGUGGCAUCUCUGAUAUCCUGCUUUACUCUACCCAUGGUCUUUCUGAAUUCAUGCAUAACACUCCUCCUGGCAUCUCCAACUUUGUGUGUAACACACAACUGUGGCAUCUCAGACUUUGUGCAUAAAACUCCCCCAGGCAUCACUGACUUUGUAUGUUACACUCCCCUGGCAUCUCUGAAUUCCUGUGUCGUAGUACCCCUGACUUCUCUGAUUUCAUGUGUAACACUCCCCAUAGUGUUUGUGACAUCAUUUGUCACACUCUCCCUGGCAUCACACAGACUUCAUUUGUAACAAUCUACAUGGUGUCUCUGAGUUCUCAUGUAACACUCCCCUGACAUCUAUGACUUCAUAUGUAAUACUUCACCUGGCUUCACUGACUUCAUGUAUCACACUCCCUCGGGUGUCUGUGACUUCAUGUGUUGCACACUCUGGCAUCUCUGCCUUCGUGUAUCACACUCCCCCAGGCGUCACUGACUUCAUGUCUCACACUGCCCCUCACGUCUCUGACAUCAUGCAUCUCAUUCUCCCUGGUGUCUUUAACUUCGUUUGUAACUCUCAGACUGUCACCUCUGAUUCCAUGUGUAACAUUCCAGGUGGCCUCUCUGGCAUCGUGUGUAACACUCCGUCUGGCAUCUCUGAUGUUGUGUGAAACAUUCCCUGUGAUGUCUGACUUCAAGGGUCACACUCGACAUGUCAUUAUUGACUCUGUGUGUCACACACCACUGUUGUCUCCAACUUAGCAUGUAACAUUCACUGUUGCAUCUCUGAUUUUGUGUGUCACAGCCCCCUGGGGUUUCUGACUUCAUGAGUUACACUUCACCUGUUGUCUCUGACUUCCUGUGUCACACUCCACGUGGCAUUUCUUCCUUUGUGUAUUACACUGCCCUGUGUCAUCUUGGACUUUGUGUGUAACGCUCCACCUGAUAUCUCUGACUUCGUGUGUUACACUUCAUGGGGCACCUCAGACUUUGGUACACACCCCCGGGUGUCUCUGAUUCAUGUGUAACACUCCACAAGACCUUUCCACCUUUGAGUGUAACACUCAUCCUUGGAGUUUUGGACAACUUAUGUAACACUCACACUGUCAUCUCUGAUAACGUGUGUCAAACUUCCCCAGAUGUUUCUUACGUUGAGUGUAAGACUCCAUGAUGUGUCUGACUUUGUGUGUCACAAUCCACCUGGCAUCUCUAGCUUCCUGUUUCACCCUACCCCUAACGUCUCUGACUUUGCAUGUAGCACUCACUGUGGCACAUCUCAUUUUGUGUGUCACAAUCUGCCUGGCAUCUUUAACUUCAGGUGUCACACUUCCUUUGUCACCUCUGACUUUGGUACACUUCCUGUGGCAGCUCUACUUCGUUUGUCACAUUUCCUCUGGUGUCUCUGACUUUGUGUGCCACACUCCUGGAGGCAUCUCUGAUGCUGUAUGUAACACACUACCCCUUGUGUCUCUGAAUUCAUGCAUCACACUGCCCCAGCCGUCUAUACCUUUGUGUCCAACACUCCCAGUGGAGUCUCUGACUUUGUGUAUAACACUCUACCUGGGGUGUCUGGAUUUGUGUGUAACAUUCCCCAUGGUGUCUCUAACUUCAAGGUUCACACUUGACCUAUCAUCUCUGACUUCGUGUGUCACACUACACUUGGUGUCUCUGAAUUCAUGUGCAACACACUUGGUGUAUCUGUCUUCAUGUGGCACAUUCCCAAUGGCGUCUCUAACUUCCUGUGUUACACUCCACAUUGCGUUUCUGCCGUCAUGUGUAAAACUCCCCCAGGCCCCAUGUAACACUCCCCCAUGUUGUCCCGGACUCCGUAUGUAACACUCCAUGUGGCAUCUCUGACUUUGUCACACACCCCAUUUGGUCUCUGACUUCGUGUGUCACCCUCUCCCUGGUGUCUUUGAGUUUGUGUGUAACACUUGCCCUGGUUCUCUGACUUCGUGCGUUACACUCCACCUGGUGAAUUUGACUUCAUGCGUAACACUCCCCAUGGCAUCCCUGAAAUCAUAAAACUCCCCCUGUAUCUCUGACUUCGUGUGUAACACUCCCACUGGCAUGUCUGACUUCUUGUGUCACAUUCCCCCUGGCCUCUUGGACUUCGUGUGUAACACUCUACAAUGUGUCUCUGCCUUCAUGUGUCAUACACUUCCUGGCAUUUUGAACUGCAUGUGUAACACCAUGGCAUCUCUGAUUUUCUUUAUAACACUCCCCCUGGUGUCUGACUUCCUGUAACACCACACACGGCGUCUCUGACUUGGUGGGUAACACUUGCCCUGGCAUCUCUGACUUCGUGUUUAACACUCCACCUGUAGUCUCUGAAUUCCAGUGUAAUUCUCCCUAUGGUGUGUCAGACUGCAUGUGUCACACUUCCCCUCCCAUCUAUAACUUCUUGUGUUACACUCCUACAUGUGUUCUCACUUCAGGUGUAACAUUCCAGGUGGCAUCUGUGACUUCCCAUGUCAUACUCGAUCUUUCAACUGUCACUUCCAGUGUCACACUCACUGUGGGGUCUCUGAAUGCCUGAUUAACAGUCCCCCUGUGUGUUUGACUUCCUGCCUAACACUGCCCUGUGGUAUCUCUGACUUUGUCUGUAAUAGUGCCCCUGGCAUCACAGAAUUUUUGUGUAGCACACUACAUGGCUUUUCUGACUUCAUGUAUAAGAUUCCCUCAGAUGUCUCUGACUUUGUGUGUAAAACUACACGUGCUAUUUCUUCCUUUGUGUGUAAAACUUUCCCGUGGCAUCUGUGACUUCAUGUGUAAAACUCCCCAGGCAUCUCUGACUAGUUGUGUAAUACUCCCACUGACGUCUCUGGAUUCAUGUCUCACAGUCCCGCUGCCAUCUCUGACUUCAUGUGUAACAUUCCCUGUGGCAUCUCUGACUUUGCGUGUAACGAUUGCCCUGGUGACUCUGUUUUCACGUGUAACACUUCCCAUGCCAUCUUGAUUUCAUGUCUAACAUGUCCCCUGGCCUCUCUGACUUUGUGUGAAAUACUCCCCCUGGUGUCUUUGACUUCAUUUGUAAAAACACCCUUGGUGUCUCUGACUUUGUGUCACACUCCUCCAGUGUUCUCUGCUCUUGUUUGUCACAAUACACCUGAUGUCUCUGAUUUCAUGUGUAACACUCCCCAUGCUGAGUCUGCUUUCGUGUGUAACACUCCCUGUGGCAUUUCUGACUUUGUCUGUAACAGUCACCCUGGUGUCUCUGACUUCAUGUGUAACACUUCCUGUGAUGUCUCUGACUUCUUGUCUAACUCUUCCCUUUGCCUCUCUGACUUCUUGUAUAACAUUCCAGGCGGCAUCUCUGAUUUCUUGUGUCACACACCCCUGGCAUCUCUGACUUUGUGUCCCAAUACCCACCAUGUCGAGGACUUCAUAUGUGACAUUCCAUGUAGCAUCUCUGACUUGUGUAACACUACCCCUGGUUUCUGCGACACUGUGUGUAACAGCCCAUGUGGCUUCUUUAAAUUUGUGAGUAAUACUCAGAGGGGUGUCUGUGUAUUCACGCAUAACGUUUCCUCUGGCAUCAGCGACUUCGUAUGUAACACUCCCCAUGGCGUCUCCUACUUCGUGUUUCACAAUUCCCCUGGCAUCUCUGAAAUCAAGUGUAACACUCAUCAUAUCCUCUUGUACUUCAUGUGUAACUCUACCCAUGGCGUCUCUGAGUUCAUGUGUAAUACAACAUAUUGUUUCUCUGACUUCCUGUGUAACACUCCACAUUGCAUCUGUGACUUCUUCUGUGACACUCCCCAUGGUGUCUGUGCCUUCAUGUUUCCCAGUCACCCUGGUGUCUCUGACUUAGUGUAACAAUCACCUUCGUCUUUCUGACUUUGUGUGUAACACUCUUUCUGGUGUGUUUCACCUUGUGCAUAAUACUCCAAUGUGAUGUCUUUCCUCUUGUGACUAACACUCCACCUGGUGUCAGUGAGUUAGUGUAUCACACUCCCCCUGUGGACUUUGUUUUUUACUCUACCCCUCAUUUCUUUGACUUCGUUUGUAAUGCUCCCCCUGGCAUCUCUUAAUUCGUGUGUCACACUGCCCCUGGUGUCUCUGAGUCUGUGGGUAAUAUUCCCCAUGACGUCUCUGACUUCAUGUGUCACACACCAACUGUCACCUCUGACUUCGUGUGCAACACUCCCCUUGGUGUCUCUGACUUCCUGUGCCCCACACACCCUGGCUUCUCUGUCUUCUAGUCUAACACUCCAUUUGGUCUUUCUGACUUCCUGCAUAACACUACCCCUAGCAUCUCGGACUCUGUGUGUAUCACUCCACCUGGUAUCUGAAUUCAUGCGUAACACACCCCCACUCAGUUCUGACUUUGUGUGUAACACUCCCCCUGGCGUCUUUGACUUCAUGAGUAACACUUCCUGUGUCACCUCUGAUUUUGUGUAUCACAGUCCCAGUGGCGUCUCUGACUUGUUGUGUAACACUCCCCUUAGUGUCUCUGACUUUGUGUGUAACACUCCAUGUUACAUUUGUGACUUCCUGUGUGAUACUCCCACUGGUGUCUCUCACUUAAUGUGUAACACUCCACAUGGCGUUUCUGCUUUCAUCUGUAACACUCUGCCGUGGAAUCCUAGACAUCACGUGUCACACAUCACCUUGUACCUCUGACUUGGUGAGUCACUUUCCAGCUGGUGUCCCUGACUUUGUGUGUCAACACUACCACUGGCUUCUCUAGCUUUGUGUAUAAAGCAACACGUGGCAUCUUUGACACCAUGCGUCUCUCCACCAGGCAUCUCAAACUUCAUGUCUAACAUUCCACAUGGCAUCUCUGACCUCAUGUGUCACAAUCCACCUGGCAUCUUUAAUUUCAUGAUUCACAGUACCCCUCACAUCUCUGACUUUGUGUGUAACACUCACCAUUGCAUCUCUGACUACAUGUGUCACUCUCCCCAUGGUGUUUCUGACUUCAUGUAUCAAACUUCGCAUGGCAUCUCCUACUUCGUGUGUAAAACACUCCCUUGUGUCUCUGACUUCCAGUGUAACAGUACCCCUGUCAUCUCUGUAUUUGUGUGUCACACCUCACCUAGCAUCUCUGACUUUGUAUAUCACACUCUCCCUGGUGAUUAUGACUUACUGUGCAACACACCUGGUGGCUUCUCUGACUUCAUGUGUCACACUUCCCCUUGUGUUUCUGAGUUUGUGUGAUAUGCUACCCCUGUCAUCUAUAACUUCGUGUGUAACACUCCCCCUGACAUCUCUGAAUUUGUGUGUAACAUUCCCUACGGGGUCUGUGACUUUGAGGGUCACAUUCAACCUGUUGUCUCUGACUUCCUGUGUCACACUAUCCCUGAUGUUUCUGACUUUGUGUGCAACACUCCCAAUUGUACCUCUGACUUCCUCUGCCACACUACCAAUGGUGUCU